UAAAAAAAAUCUUCCUUUUUUAACCGUCUUUAAAAAUACUGCAGGAAUGAAAAUUAUACGUGACGUUAAAGAGUUGUAACGUUAAAAAGAUGAUAUUGCUUAAAAUUGUUUAAUUAUUGGUACUUGAAUCUGACUUUAAACCGGUUUAACACAAACAUACAAUUACAAUAAUCAAUACCAGGGUACAUGUAUCAUGCUGGAAAAUUACGAAUGUGUCAGACGAAUUAUUUUGUUUUUUCAUAGAAGAUAAACAAAAUCAUCGAGCUUUGCAGAACGAUGAAUCAGACUGACUGAAUGACACUAAGUUUUGCAAAAUGGAUAUAUCCCUAACUUCCAUGGCUAACUUCAAUGGAGAGGACAGAGUAAUGGCAAAAAGAGGAUCAUUUUAAAGAGAGGAGGAAGAGGGAUAUGUAAAGAGUGUUCUGAGGCCAGGAUAUCAGCAGUGCGUUCAGUCAGACGAGCGUUUACAAAACGCUCGCAAACAUUUUGUUUUGUAUCUCUGUUGCAACGCAGCGCAUAUACGUUAAGCGGGAAACGAAACAGCAAACGUUCGCCGCAAACAUCUUUACUGAACGCGUUGCAGAUUCACGAUGGGGGAGGGGGGCGGUGGAACAAUUUUUGAGAAUUAUUGACAUACAUGUGUAUAAACAUAUAUAUAUAUAUAUCAUGGUAGGAACUGUUUGCCUUGUCAACUGUGACUUAAAUAUUUAGUUCUUGUGUCAGCCUGUGCUUAUCUCAAAUAUUUAAUGACAUUUUUUUGGUUUGUUUGAUAGACAUGAUAAUUAUAUAACUAUUAAAUAUGAAUGGCAACAAUUAUAGAUAAAACAUUGUAACUCAUGUUAACUUUAUAAUAGAUAAUUAAUUGUUUAUAUGCAAUAUAUAUUUAAGGAUGCAUAUUUCUUUUAUUCUUGAAUCUAUUUUUUGUGGGUUUUUUCAUAUAUUGAAAAUAUUUUUCAUGAAUGUGGGUUUUUAAUUCAUUGUCAGUCUCAGAAGAAUUAAACAACUUGUGUUGAAUUUAUUUGCUAGACUGAAACUAGGCUGUUAAUAUUGGUCAGACUAAUUAAAUCAGAGAAUAAUAUGUACAACUAAUCGGAUUACUGACCAAUAGAGUGAAUUUAGUCAAUGAUGUAUGACCCUAAGAUUAAGAUUGACUUAAAGCUGCACUCUCACAGAUUGAAGUGAACUUCUUUAUUUUUUGGCUUGGAAAGAGCCAAUUUAUGCGAAAAUGCAUGAAAAAUAGUGUCAUAAGACUGCAUACUUU
Mya arenaria is the source of this 1261-nucleotide long non-coding RNA. RefSeq lists it as uncharacterized. The transcript is spliced from 2 exons. Lineage: Eukaryota; Metazoa; Mollusca; Bivalvia; Myida; Myidae. The record is from RefSeq and is a predicted model, not a curated record.